This 85-nucleotide transfer RNA is filed under the name uncultured Microthrixaceae bacterium. RNAcentral describes it as "tRNA-Leu". It matches the Rfam family "tRNA". Rfam says of the family: Transfer RNA (tRNA) molecules are approximately 80 nucleotides in length. Their secondary structure includes four short double-helical elements and three loops (D, anti-codon, and T loops). Lineage: Bacteria; Bacillati; Actinomycetota; Acidimicrobiia; Acidimicrobiales; Microthrixaceae. The record is from RNAcentral.
GCCCGGAUGGCGGACUUGGCAGACGCAGGGGGCUUAAACCCCCCGACUCGCAAGGGUUUACGGGUUCAAGUCCCGUUCCGGGCAC